GGCUAGUCUAAGCGCGGGACUGCCAUCGCUUUCAAAUCUACAGAACACAAAGGCAUCAGGUACAAGUAGGCACCUCACCGGUGAUGAAUGUACAACCGAGAGGAGAAACAGAACGGCUUUUGAGUCACUGUGUUCAUUAGUACCUGGUUAGGACUGCGUCCAACCUGAUGGCAAAUAUGAAAUAUCAAAGUGCUUGUCAGCACUCCUGAAUGGGACAAAGAAAGGCUGCAUUAAUGAUUAACUGUGCUAAAAGCCCCGUCUUUUGUAUUCCCAUGGUGCCUGGGCUAUCUGGCUGCCAUGUGACAUGCUCGGGCCCUUUUCUAGCAGAUUGAGGAAAGCUAGUGAGCAAACACAGGUGCUUAGGAGUCAGCACGGCUGUCAGGGGCAACCACAAACAACACCAGCUAUGCCUGGUUAAAUGACCUCCUCUGUUUGCUUCCAUUGCUGCUUCCUGGGGAUCGUACAUUUCAAGCCCAGUGUCUCCUGCCCCCAUUCUCAGCUAUUCGCACGCAGUGUUGAAAAACCAGGCAGAGCCACUUCUUUGAUGCAACAGCAUUCGGUGGUCAAACGUAGGGACAGAGUAAACUAAUUAAAAGUGUUCAAGUCUUUAGCUGCCAAAACAAAACACAUUUAUUUUUUCUCAAGUGGGUCUAUUUUCUUGACCCUGUGUCAAACACAAAGGAGCCAUUCAUUUUGAAAUAAGCAUUUGGAAAUCUGUGUGUGUGGAAGAAAGCAAAAUGCAAGCACUUUCACUAUUAAUAGUUAGCAAAUAAGAAAAGUUUAAAAGAAGGUUAUUUGCAGCUUUGAAACUCCAGACAUGCCUCGGCCUGAAUGCUAGUUUCCUGGCUAUGAAUGUUACACAGUAGCAAGACAAGGGUUCUCUGUUGUGGAAAGUACAAAGUCCCCCUAGCGGAAUAGUGAACUUUCUACAUGGCACAAGUCAGACUUUUAUUGUUCAGAUAUUUAUAUUUGUAUAUUACAGCUCUGUGAGGAAGGUUAAGAGCAGUGUCAGCACAGCAUAUGACACUGGGGCCUAUUGUAAUGUCUAAACGAUGUCUUAAUACCACGUUCCUGAAAUGACACUUAAUUAUUGUAUAUUGUAUAUGCUAAUAGCAGGUGAAUAAAUACCCCCGUGUGAAAAGGCACAGUCAGAUUCAUAUAGAGUUGAAGAGUGGUGGUAUUUAGAUCAGCCACUGUUGAGAUCAUUAAAAUAGACAGCUUGCUUAAAUAAAGGAAUAAGCUUAUUUAAGAGGUAUUGCUUUGCCUGUCUACUCCUUUUACAUCGUUUCUUCUUCAACAAUGACUUCAGCUUUUGAUAAUGAUUGCUACAUAGACUAAUAGGGAUUGUUUUCAACAAAGUCUACUGACGCAACAUGAUAUAAGACUAUAAUGUUAUAAGAGGAUCACUCUCAAAAGCAAAAUCAAACCUAGAGCUACGGCCAGGUCUCUUAUUUGAGCACACAAGACUGUUAGACUGCAGCUUUAUUGCAUAGUUCUUGUCACUGCAAAAAAGUCUCAUCCAUUGUCUGCAAAAACUCCUAGCAGAUUUCAGGCAAUGACGAAAAGAAUAAAAAGACCAAUUGAAAACUGUGAUAAUCUCAAAGGCUCUUUGAAGUUCUGCAUACAAUGCAACGUUUUUACAGAGCAGGAGCACUUAAAAAGGCUGUAGACUGAAUGAACUUGGGUCUUUUGUAAGAUCUGUCCCAACAACACAGUCCUCUGAACUAUGGAAAACAAACAAAUAUUCAUAAUAUGCAAUCGGCUAGCUGUGAUGUUUGGUGCUGCUUGCAAGCGUAAAGUCAAUAUGUAUUUCAAUUACAUUAGUUUACAAUAGAAUCAGUCGACUUGCUAAAAUAUCAGCCUAAGGCUAUGACUUUACACCACCUGUCUUUUAUUUGUACUUUUUAAGCUAUCUUGACUUACUAUCCUGUACUAAUGAAAUAAAGAUGUUAAAAUGAACUUU
Acipenser ruthenus (sterlet) is the source of this 1963-nucleotide long non-coding RNA. RefSeq lists it as uncharacterized. The record is from RefSeq and is a predicted model, not a curated record. NCBI's taxonomy places the organism in Eukaryota, Metazoa, Chordata, Actinopteri, Acipenseriformes, Acipenseridae. The transcript is spliced from 2 exons.